RNAcentral lists this ribosomal RNA (507 nucleotides) under uncultured bacterium. Its description in RNAcentral is "partial 16S ribosomal RNA". It matches the Rfam family "Bacterial small subunit ribosomal RNA", at positions 28 to 507 of the family's 1533-position model. The record is from RNAcentral.
GACGAACGCUGGCGGCGUGCCUAAUACAUGCAAGUCGAACGCAUUUUCUUUCACCGUAGCUUGCUACACCGAAAGAAAAUGAGUGGCGAACGGGUGAGUAACACGUGGGUAACCUGCCCAUCAGCGGGGGAUAACACUUGGAAACAGGUGCUAAUACCGCAUAAUUCCAUUUACCGCAUGGUAAAUGGAUGAAAGGCGCUUUUGCGUCACUGAUGGAUGGACCCGCGGUGCAUUAGCUAGUUGGUGGGGUAACGGCCUACCAAGGCUGCGAUGCAUAGCCGACCUGAGAGGGUGAUCGGCCACGCUGGGACUGAGACACGGCCCAGACUCCUACGGGAGGCAGCAGUAGGGAAUCUUCGGCAAUGGACGCAAGUCUGACCGAGCAACGCCGCGUGAGUGAAGAAGGUUUUCGGAUCGUAAAACUCUGUUGUUAGAGAAGAACAAGGAUGAGAGUGGAAAGUUCAUCCCUUGACGGUAUCUAACCAGAAAGCCACGGCUAACUACGUG